GUAUUUUGACUAUACGAAGGUAUUGAAAUAAGAUUUUAAAUGAGUGCUAAGAGAAUGGUUUAACAAUUAGUAACUUUCUUUAUUUUAAAAAUUAAAUUUAAUUUUUUUGUGAGGAAGCAAAAAUAAAAAUUAGGGACAAGAAGACCCUAUGAAUUUUAAAUUAAUUUUAAAAAAUAUAAUUUAUUUUUUAUUUUAAUUUUGUUGGGGCGACAGAAAAAGAAUAUUUAUCUUUUAAUAAUAAAUUAAUUUUGAUCCAUUAUUUAAUGAUUUAAUGAAAAAAAUACUCUAGGGAUAACAGCGUAAUAAUUUUGGAUAGUUCUUAUAGAUAAAAUAGUUUGCGACCUCGAUGUUGGAUUAGGAUUCUUUUU
Molecule: ribosomal RNA, 368 nt
Filed under: Ixodes sp.
Lineage: Eukaryota; Metazoa; Arthropoda; Arachnida; Ixodida; Ixodidae
Description: partial large subunit ribosomal RNA
Source: RNAcentral